Molecule: non-coding RNA, 1706 nt
Organism: Styela clava
Lineage: Eukaryota; Metazoa; Chordata; Ascidiacea; Stolidobranchia; Styelidae
Source: RefSeq, a predicted model, not a curated record
GCUACAGUUGUUUAGGUAUCAAUGGUAAAAAUGAAGUUUCACGAACAGGAAGCCUACCAGUAGUAUGGUAUGCAUGCAACGGUAGUACCGGUAGUCAUAAAUAAUUUAACCUUUUAUGGUAAGAAAAUUGAACUUCAGUGUGUAACUGGAAGGCACAUGAUCAAUGAAUAAAUGGUAUUCUACAAGAUCAAGGUAGGAUUAAAUUUCAUGUGGAACUAACCACUUCAUACAGAACAUGGAAAAAGCAAAGGUACUCUGGAUCACUGGAUCAAGUCGACAGUGGAGCUGGCAAAGGCGAAGAAAGUUCUGGAUCCACUUUAAUCGGAUGAAAAGGCAGCAGAAUGUGUUCACCUUGUCUUGGAGAAUACUCGGAUCUUUUGCACUGUAGAGCAGGCAAGCAUCAUCAGCAAACAAUUUGCUCAAGAAAUUGGAGCAGUUAGACAGAUCAUUUAUGUAAAUUAAGAAACCAAGAGGACCUAACACACUACCUUGAGGAAUUCCGUGAUGAAUGGGCAACAUCGGAGACUGCUAGAUGACGCUAUUGCGUCAUUUUUUAUGUCUGUUCUGCCAACCAAUCAAAUCAAGUGAUGCCCAUGUACAAUAAUGAUAAUAUACGGCUUUGAGUCUAGAUUUUACAUCUCUUCUGGAUCGCAUCUCUACGAUUGAAUAUGACAACGUGUAGUAGAAUUACAGGCAGUUGAAAAAUUACUGGGUAACGACUGCGCCACAAAUCUAAAUAUGCUACGAAAUCAAGAAAAAUAAAGGUUGAAAAAGGAAAAAUAGUGAAUCAAAGUUACAAGCAAGGCUCCCUCUAAGUUGCGCAACUGCGCCAUUGCGCAUUACCACCAGACCAUUUGCGCAGUGAAAUUGCAUUCUCGCUCACCUGUAACAUCACGUUUUUAAAGCGUGGCUUGCCAUACUUUCAAACGCAUCGCUAAAAUGCCCGUUUCAUGUUCACUAGUAUUUUCGUUACCACUGUUUAUUGUGAAGUCACACAUGUAUCUGUUACGUCCAAGUACCUGGGUUUCUCCUGAAUCAUCUGGAAAGAGCUAUUUCAAAAGCCAAGCAUGCAAUGCCAGCAAUAAACACCGACAAAGUGUAUAAACAUUAAAAAAAAAUGAUAACAAAGAAUUGCUUUUUGGGUUAAAUGUGUUAAUCAUUUGGGACUCUGCUCAGCCCUAAAAUAUUCAUGUUCACUGAAAUAAACAAUUGCGAAGUGUAAUAUUUUCUUGGAGGGAACACUGGUUACAAAGCUCAUAAAUGUCAGUAUGAUACACACAAAAGGUUAUUUAUACAUUAUAGAUGUUAAAUUCUGUUAUCAGAUGCGCGACUAUUUGAAAGGUACUGAAGGCAUCGUUAAACCUAAUUGGUUCAGAUAUUUAUUUCCAUUGUCCAGAAAUCAAUGCAAAAAAAUAAACAUACAUAAAAAAACUAACAAAAAAGGAAAAUAUUGACUCGUAGCAAUUUAUUAGGGGUCGCUAAAGACUCAGUGAAUCAUCCAGUCAGCGACACAUUGAUACUGAUUUCAAGCAGAAAAUAGCGAAAAAACAAUUUUAAUUUAACUCGAAAUAUAAAAUCAUUAAAAGAACAACAGAAUAAUAACAGGAACUAGAGGAAUGAAACGAACCAUUAUGCUUUAUUUCGUAUAGAUGGCAAUGAGUUACCCCAUGGGCAAAAUCUUUCCAACUCCAAGAAACGUUAAAUAU